Molecule: long non-coding RNA, 2076 nt
Organism: Columba livia (rock pigeon)
Lineage: Eukaryota; Metazoa; Chordata; Aves; Columbiformes; Columbidae
Exons: 6
Source: RefSeq, a predicted model, not a curated record
CAGAACCUCUGCACCUGCUGCACGAGCUCCCACAGCCGCUGCUGCAGCACAGUGUGGGUGGUACUCACAGCUUCACACGCUGGUCUCACCUCCCAGCGCCUGGUGGGCAGCGACGUGUCCCUGCCCUCCCUGAGGCUGUUUCAGGGCUGGGGGCGGGGCUGUGAUUAUUGUUACCCUGGCAACGCCCACAUUACGUCAGCCGCUGUCACAAGAGCUGCCGGGUGCUGCAGCGUCGCACUGCUCUCACAGGGUUCCCUGGCAAAGGAACCUCCCAGACUCGCCAUGUACCUCAAGAUGUGCCGCUGCUGCUCUGGCUGUUCUGGCUCCAACCUCCUGACCUUGGGGACUGAGAGAAAGAAGCAGGAGAAAUGCAUACCAAUGCUAAAUGAACUGAUGCUGACCAUGAGAAGAGCUGAGAUUCUUAUCAAUACAGGCACAAGGAACUGAAGAGCACCUGUCGUCCAACUUUGGUCAGACACAGGACAUUAAGUGGCUUCUGGAACCCAUCAGCUGACUCAGGAUCAAGAUCAAUCAUUAUCUUCUUUGAAAGCUACUCAUUUGGUUUUUGAAUCUCUUUGGGGACAUUACGAAAUGGAGAUGCCAUCUGUCAUCCUGAGAUCAGCCCUGCAAAUGUAACGCCAUCAUUGUGUUGCUGUCACAAUCAGAGGAGAUAAUAUGUUGAUGGGAUAAUUGCCUUGAAUGCCACCAGCUUCCACUUUCAAGAGGGAAACAUCCGGCUCCUUUCUGAAACUGUGAAGUCUCCUUCUAAGUGUUUUCCUACUUUCAGUUCUUCAUAACACUCUUGAAGAAGCUGAGUGGACACCUCUGCGUCCCGGAGCCUUGGCCCCCAUACUUCUCUGUCCGGGAAGUGAAUGAUCACAAAAUCAGAGAAUGGUUUGGGUUGAAAGUGACCUUAAACAUCACCUAGUUCCAACCUCCAUGCCAUGGGCUGGGGCAGCUUCCACUAGACCCGGUUUCUCAAAGUCCCUUCCAACCUGGCCUUGAACACUUCCAGGGAUGGGGCAUCCACAUCUUCUCUGGACAGCUUGUUCCAGUGCCUCACCACCCUCACAGAGAAGAAUUUUUUCUUAUAUCUAAUAUGAAUCCACUCUCUUUGUGUUUAAAGACACUGCUCCUUGUCCUAUCACUACACACACUUGUAAAAAGUCUCCAGCUUUCUUGUAGGUCCCCCUUAGGUACAGGAAGGAUGCUGAGAGGUCUUUCUGGAGCCUUCUCUUCUUCAGGCUGAACAACACCAACUCUCUUAGCCUGGUCUCAUAGGAGAGGUGCUUCAGCCAUCUGACCAUUUUCAUCACCCUUCUCUGGACUUGCUCCGACAGACCUAUCUUUCUUAUGUUGGAGGCCUCAAAGCUGGACUCAUUACUCCAGGUGGAGUUUCAAGAGAGUGCAGGAGAGAGGGAGAAUCACCUCCCUCAACCUCCUGGUCACACUUCUUUUGAUACAGCCCAGGAUAUGUUUGGCUUUCUGAGCUGCAAGUGCACGUUGCCGGGUCAUGUUGAGCUUCUCAUCAACCAACACUCCCAAGUUUUUCUCCUCAGAGCUACUCUCAAUCCAUUCUCUGUCUACCCUGUAUUUGUGCCUGGGAUUGUCCCAGCCCUGAUCCAAUGAAAGUGAAUGGUAUGACUGCAUUUGAAUGAGCAGCAAUAUCAUGCCAUUGUGAAUACACAUUUGGCUUGUAACUAAGAUAUCAUGGUCUAGAAGAAAGACCAUGUGAUCUGAAGUCAGUAACUCUUGCUCCUUCCAUAUAUCAACCUUACAUGAAGGGAGUGCCUAUGAAAAAUUCCAAGAACAGCUAUUGUAAUUCUCCAUAUCUGUUAAGAGAUGUUCAGUGGUACUACAGAAAUGUGUGUAGUGUGACUUUUUUUUCUACUCUUCACAUAGGAAAAUACUGUGUUAUGUCAAAUAUUAGUGUGCUUAAUAUUAAUUUAAAUUAUAAUGUAUCAUCUCUUGCUCAAUCUUUUGUUCUCUUAUAAGAAUAUUAUUGUAUACUAAUUAACUGAUUAAGAAAAUAAAUAUGUUUUGUGAUGGAAGAAGAACGUAUUAAAGAAUUUCUAA